UGCCAGCCGCCGCGGUAAUACGGAGGGUGCAAGCGUUGCUCGGAAUCACUGGGCGUAAAGGGUCCGCAGGCGGCUCAAUCAGUCGGGUGUGAAAUCCCGGGGCCCAACCCCGGAACUGCAUUCGAAACUGCCUGGCUAGAGUCUCGGAGAGGGUGGCGGAAUUCCCGGUGUAGAGGUGAAAUUCGUAGAUAUCGGGAGAAACACCAGUGGCGAAGGCGGCCACCUGGACGAUGACUGACGCUGAGACGCGAAAGCGUGGGGAGCGAACGGGAUUAGAUA
This 279-nucleotide ribosomal RNA is filed under the name uncultured bacterium. RNAcentral describes it as "partial 16S ribosomal RNA". It matches the Rfam family "Bacterial small subunit ribosomal RNA", at positions 506 to 784 of the family's 1533-position model. The record is from RNAcentral.